Molecule: ribosomal RNA, 820 nt
Filed under: uncultured Comamonas sp.
Lineage: Bacteria; Pseudomonadati; Pseudomonadota; Betaproteobacteria; Burkholderiales; Comamonadaceae
Description: bacterial SSU rRNA
Rfam family: Bacterial small subunit ribosomal RNA
Source: RNAcentral
CAUGCGCUGCUUUAACAUGCAGUCGAACGGUAACAGGUCUUCGGAUGCUGACGAGUGGCGAACGGGUGAGUAAUACAUCGGAACGUGCCUAGUAGUGGGGGAUAACUACUCGAAAGAGUAGCUAAUACCGCAUGAGAUCUACGGAUGAAAGCAGGGGACCUUCGGGCCUUGUGCUACUAGAGCGGCUGAUGGCAGAUUAGGUAGUUGGUGGGGUAAAGGCUUACCAAGCCUGCGAUCUGUAGCUGGUCUGAGAGGACGACCAGCCACACUGGGACUGAGACACGGCCCAGACUCCUACGGGAGGCAGCAGUGGGGAAUUUUGGACAAUGGGCGAAAGCCUGAUCCAGCAAUGCCGCGUGCAGGAUGAAGGCCCUCGGGUUGUAAACUGCUUUUGUACGGAACGAAAAGCCUGGGGCUAAUAUCCCCGGGUCAUGACGGUACCGUAAGAAUAAGCACCGGCUAACUACGUGCCAGCAGCCGCGGUAAUACGUAGGGUGCAAGCGUUAAUCGGAAUUACUGGGCGUAAAGCGUGCGCAGGCGGUUUUGUAAGACAGUGGUGAAAUCCCCGGGCUCAACCUGGGAACUGCCAUUGUGACUGCAAGGCUAGAGUGCGGCAGAGGGGGAUGGAAUUCCGCGUGUAGCAGUGAAAUGCGUAGAUAUGCGGAGGAACACCGAUGGCGAAGGCAAUCCCCUGGGCCUGCACUGACGCUCAUGCACGAAAGCGUGGGGAGCAAACAGGAUUAGAUACCCUGGUAGUCCACGCCCUAAACGAUGUCAACUGGUUGUUGGGUCUUAACUGACUCAGUACGAAGCUAACGCG